Molecule: long non-coding RNA, 4386 nt
Filed under: Homo sapiens (human)
Lineage: Eukaryota; Metazoa; Chordata; Mammalia; Primates; Hominidae
Description: HSALNT0075736
Source: RNAcentral
ACAGGUUUAAGAAGAAAAAUCAUAUGAUCCUGUUAAUUGUUGCAGAGAAAGCAUUUGACAAAAUCCAACACCUAAUCAAGAUUAAAAAAGAAAAAACACCCUCAGCAAACUGGAAAUAGAGGGAACUCACUUAACUUUAUAAAGAAUAGCUACAGAAAAACUAACAUCAUACUUACUGGUAAGAAACUGAAUGCCUUUCUCCUGAGAUCAGGAACACAACAAGGAUAUCCUUUCUUGCCACUUCCAUUCAACAUUGCAGUGAAGGUCAUACAAUUCCAGGUUGCUCACAGACCCCCUCUAGGAGAUGUUACUGUCGCUCAUUCGUAUUUCCGGUUCUACUCCUCUUCCGGGCACACUGGAGAAUUACACUUCCUUGCUGACUUGAGAUAAGUCACAGCUUUGGCCAAUGAAGUGUGAAUGGAAGUUUUCAGAACCUUUAAGAGCCUGUACGCAAUUUGCCAUGCUUUCUCUUUUUGCUUUGUCACCAAAACCUCUGUGUUCCAGAUAGUGACUACUCUGUCUGCGUGGGUCCUGGAGAGAGGAGGAUGCAGAGCACAGCACUUAGCCAACCUGCAAUGGACACGUAGAAAACCUCAAGAAAGGCUCUGGCCUAGACUUGCCCCUUGUUCCUGUCUUCUGGCUCUUGACUGACACUGGUGCUUUCCCCCUGUGGUCCUGCAUGGUGUGUGGUGACUACCUCAUUGGGCCCUAAAACUUCUAAAAUCAUCAGGAGAUAUCACUGAAAAGGUUUCAAAACAAAGCCAUAAUCUCUAGAAAUGUGUCCUUGAUGGGUUGGUCUUCAUUUGCCUGAAGCCACCAACUGAUAGCUACAAAACUGCACUUCCUAGAGACAUGUUGAGAGAGGUUCAAGGCUCAACAGAACUUACCCUUUUGCUGUCAGAGCUCCACCACCAGAUAAGCACAACUGAGCGAAUGACACCAACCAGUGCCAAGAGAAGCAGGACUACCCAACUACACUUUGCCUAAAUUCCUGAUUCACAGAAUUAUAAGCAAAUAAAAUGAUUGUUUAAAGCACUAAGUUUUGGGUUCAUUUGUUAUGCGGCAAUAAAGAAUCAAAACACCUGGAACCCAGUUCCCUUCUCUUUUAUUACCCACAUGGUCUCUCUCCUGUAGUGUCGCUGUUUUUCCUGACUAGCUUUCUCAUCCUGCUGUUACACCCUUACUAGGAAUUUCUCUCAGCAAUAUCCAGUUAAAAUUCCGGAAGGGAAUAGGCUGGUUGGCUUUGCUCAUUGUCUCACUUUUCUUGGGCAGAACCUUUUGUACCAAUCCAUUUCAUCAGCAUUUUUAUGGGUGAAUCUUAGUUGACCAGGUACCGACUCUCGUCAAAUUACUGUCUGACUCUACACAAGAAAUAUACAAAGAGCCUGGUGCUGCUUUCCUGAGCAGGACAGUUCAUAGGGACAUUGAGCAUGGUUGGCAUCUAACCUGGUUAUUCUGAAGAUUUCAUGAUUAAAUCCUCAGUCCUAUGAAUUAACCAAUUGUCCAGUGUUAAAAUACAGACACCCCCUGCACACAUGAAACUGCUCAUCAAUUGUUUAAACUUUAACAUAUGUAAAAGGUGUCCAGUAGGAGCUAGCUGAAUCUGAGCAUUAAUGCUGGAAAAGGAGGAGGAGGCCUGAGAUCUUUGGCUGCUUGGUAGAGUAAAGGUGGUAGAAAGAAGUCAACAAGAACUUAAAGGAAAGAUCAAAGGACAGUGAAAGAACAUUUUUCCUAGUUUUGCCUAGAGCAGGCUUUUGAUUAAAGGUAGAGUGCUGACUCUCUAAAGAUAGAUAUCUAAAAGGAUUCUUCUAGAUACAUGAGAGCACAGGAAAGAUUGUGCAAGGGCAUAAAUAUGAGCAUACUAUAGUGAUUAAGACCAUGUGACAUUAAAGGAAGAGGAAGAUGGAAAAAAAGGUACAUGAAGAAUAUAAACAAGAGGUUGGUGCCUAGAAAAAGAGGAAGAUAGUAGAAAGUUUGGGAAGUAUAGAAAGUAUAAGAUCCUUUAGGAGUUGUUCUUUAUAUACUACUAUUUGCUAAACUUCAAUGUUUAAAAUUCAGCAUUUGUAGAGCAAGCGUAGGUAUACAGCUAUUAUUAAAUUCUAAUAUGUAAUGGUCUGUAUACUUCCAGAAGCUUUCAGAGUUUUGAAUUGAUAUUCCAUUAUAAAUUUUUUAGGAAUUCACCAUUUGUAAUGCACAUGUCUAGUGAUAAUUCUUUCCCUCAGCCCCACCCCCCAGAUCUUUAUAUGUCUGGUAAUUUCUCAUCAUUCAGGCUUUCGUUGAAACGGAAAUGCCUCAGAAAGCCUUUUGCUUUCUUAACCAUCCUUGGCAAGAAGAAUUCCAUGAUGGACCCUCCAGGUUCCUAGCCUUGAUAUACACACAUCUCUCAGUUAUUCAGUAAAACACACUAAUGUAGCUAUUGCUGUAAAGGAAGUAUGGAGAUGAAAUCAAGGUCCCAAAUCUAUUGACCUUUAAAUAAAGAGAUUAACCGGGUGGAACUGACCAAGUCAUAUGAGCCCUUUAAAAUAAAUUUUCUCAACCACAGUGAGAUACGACCUCAUAGCUGUUACAACGGCUAUAUCAAAGAGACAAGAGAGGCUGGGCAUGGUGGCUCACGCCUAUAAUCCCUGCACUUUGGGAGGCAGAGGAGGGUGGGUUACUUGAGGUCAGGUGUUUGAGACCAGCCUGGCCAACAGGCUGAAAGCCCGUCUCUACUAAAAAUACAAAAAUUAACCUGGCAUGGUGGAGGGCAUCUGUAAUCCCAGCAACUCAGCUGAGGCAGAAUAAUUGCUUAAACCCAAGAGAUGGAUGUUGCAGUGAGCCAAAACCACACCACAGCCCUUCAGCCUGGGCAACAGAGUGAGACUCCAUCUUAAAAAAAAAAAAAACAAGAGAUAACAAGUUCAGCUAAUUUAAUGUAUAGCAUGCCAAUUAUAAUUAAUAACAAUGUAACAUACACUUGGAAAUUGCUAAAAGAGUCGAUUUCAAUGUCCUCACCCCAAACAAAUAAUAUGUGAGGUAGUAGAUAUGUUAAUUAGCUUGAUUUUGUCAUUUCACAAUGUGUACAUAUAUCAAAAUAUAUUGUACACCAUAAAUAUAUACAAUUUUUAUUUAUUCAUUUAAAAAUAAGUAAAAAUAAAAAUGGGGCUUAUACUUUAAGAAAUUGAUUUUGGCCAGGCACAGUGGCUCACGCCUGUAAUCCCAGCACUUUGGGAGGCCGAGGUGGGUGGAUCACCUGAGGUCUGGAGUUCGAGACCAGCUUAGCCAACAUGGUGAAACCCCAUCUCUGAUGAAAAUAUAAAAAAUGAGCUGGGUGUGGUGGAAGGCUCCUAUAAUCCCAGCUACCUGAGAGGCUGAGGCAGGAGAAUCACUUGAAGCGGGGUGGUGGAGGUUGCAGUGAGUCGAGAUCGCAUCAUUGCACGCCAGCCUGGGCAACAGGAGCAAAACUCUGCUCAAAAAAAGAAAAAAGAAAAAAGAAAAAAAAAAACUUGAUUUUAUCUGGCUGUUUGAAGAAGUCAGAGAUGUGAAGUUUGUGACGGUUAUCACAUGCCAUUGCUGACAAAGAUGGAGGAAUUCAAGGAAUGUGGCAGGCUACUGGAGCCCAGGGUAGCCCUUGGCUAACAGCCAGCAAGGAGCAAGGAUCUCAGUCCUACAACUACAAGGAACUGGAUUCUGCCAGUAACAGCAAUGAGCUUGGAAGCAGAGUUUUUAUUUCAGCCUUGUGAGACCCUGAGCAGAGAACCCAGCAAUACCAUGCCAGACUUCUGAUCUACAAAGCAGUAUAUAAUAAAUGAGUGUUUUUUAAAUGGCUGAGUUCAUGAUAAUUUGUUACAUAGCAACAGAAAACUAAUUUACCAUCCUAAUCUAAAAUAAGACCCCAUAAUCACACUCCAGUCAUUAUUAUACAUUAGUUUGUUUUUCUUUCUUCAAAAAUAUAUAUAAUAAUUUAUGUAUUAUAUAUAAAACAUAAAAUUAAUAUUUAUUUGCUUGCUUGCUUGCUAAAUAUCUCUUCCCUAAUAUUAUAUUAGACAAUAAGCUUAGUGAGGGAACGUAAAAGGUACCCAAUCAAUAUUUACUUAAAAAAAGAUAAAUGCCUACAUUUAAACAAAUAUUUUUCAAAAAAAGGUUAAUCAAAUCUCAGAGAUACCAUCCCCCCCAAAAAAUUUUUUAAAUAUGUCUUCUAGGCCAGGCGCAGUGGCUCACACCUGUAAUCCCAGCACUUGGGGAGGCUGAGGUGGAAGGACUGCCUGAGUCCAGGAGUUCAAGACCAACCUAGGCAACAUGUUGAGACUCCAUCUCAUAAAAUAAAUUUGUUUUUUAAAGUGUCUUCUGGCCGGGCGCGGUGGCUUACGCCUGUAAUCCCAGCACUUUGGGAGGCCGAGGCGGGCG